GACGAACGCUGGCGGCGUGCCUAAUACAUGCAAGUCGAACGCUUUUUCUUUCACCGGAGCUUGCUCCACCGAAAGAAAAAGAGUGGCGAACGGGUGAGUAACACGUGGGUAACCUGCCCAUCAGAAGGGGAUAACACUUGGAAACAGGUGCUAAUACCGUAUAACACUAUUUUCCGCAUGGGAGAAAGUUGAAAGGCGCUUUUGCGUCACUGAUGGAUGGACCGGGGGUGCAUUAACUAGUUGGUGAGGUAACGGCUCACCAAGGAAACGAUGCAUAGCCGACCUGAGAGGGUGAUCGGCCACACUGGGACUGAGACACGGCCCAGACUCCUACGGGAGGCAGCAGUAGGGAAUCUUCGGCAAUGGACGAAAGUCUGACCGAGCAACGCCGCGUGAGUGAAGAAGGUUUUCGGAUCGUAAAACUCUGUUGUUAGAGAAGAACAAGGAUGAGAGUAAAAUGUUCAUCCCUUGACGGUAUCUAACCAGAAAGCCACGGCUAACUACGUGCCAGCCGCCGCCGUAA
RNAcentral lists this ribosomal RNA (523 nucleotides) under uncultured bacterium. RNAcentral's name for it is "partial 16S ribosomal RNA". It matches the Rfam family "Bacterial small subunit ribosomal RNA", at positions 28 to 523 of the family's 1533-position model. The record is from RNAcentral.